Molecule: non-coding RNA, 194 nt
Filed under: Magnetofaba australis IT-1
Lineage: Bacteria; Pseudomonadati; Pseudomonadota; Magnetococcia; Magnetococcales; Magnetococcaceae
Description: 6S / SsrS RNA
Rfam family: 6S / SsrS RNA
About the family: E. coli 6S RNA was the first non coding RNA to be sequenced, but its function was unknown until recently. It consists of 184 nucleotides that fold into an extended hairpin structure with a large single-stranded internal bulge.
Source: Rfam by way of RNAcentral
CAAUCCCUGCGGCGUUCGUGAGGCAAUGUUCCCCUGGCCCAACUCGUUGGUGAUUGGAACUGGGACUCUCACGUUGAACGCCCCCUCGCCUGGGUGGGAAGUCUUUCUCCAGAUGGCGAGGGGCUUUCACACCAGAUCCACCUGUUUAUCCGUGGACCUUGUGGUUCCGUGCCCACGACGCCUGCGGGGAUAUA